UUGUGUUUAUGAGCCAUGAAUAAGGUGCUUCUUGCCCUAUGCCAGCCUAAAAAUACUAUCUGAAUAGUCAUCAUAGCAGAAAUGGGAGCAAGCAAGGGUGAUGUGAUGGAGCUGCAUUUGCACCUGCACCUCCGAAUGAAGGACGACUCGUGCAUGGUGACAUGGAUAUGAUGGUGUUUUUGUUGCUUCCUUCCUUUAUAGGUGCAGCGGCAGAUGCAGCUCCAUCACUACCAUUCCGUGCAUGGUCACGAGCUGUUCUUCCUUUUCAUCUAUUCUUUUGUUGUUACCACAGAAAAGUCUAAUUUUUCUAUAUGCGAGUAGCUGCAGCGAUCCUUACCAAUUUCGUGAUGCGCGAUUAUUGUGUGCAGAUUCUCCUCCUAACUUCCUAGGUGCUGUGGCAGAUGCAGCUAUGCCACGGCCGGCAGUUCCACAUGGGAGAGUCAAGUGGAACGACCUCAAUUCGUGAAACGGAAUAGAGUUAAAACUUAAAAGAUGAGUUUGAUUACUCGAUGGAUCACGUAUAUAUCAGCUUCUCUCUGUUGGGGUCUGAUGCUGUGCUCAGAUCCUUCACAACAAAAUGAUUGCACGGAAGAAACAACUCGACCGUGUGACUGGUCGUCGCCAAAGUGACCAAAUGCAACUCGAGUGGAGCAAACUGACAUGUUUUCAUCACCCCAUUUUUAGCAACUUUACCAGUAUCAGUGACCAGUUCUUAACAACUCUGUAAUUUGUUGAUCUUGUUGUGAAAUCACACCCGCGUAACACAACACAAUAGAAUUAGAAAAAAGCCACGCAUUCCCUCUGGCUUUGUUAUUUUAGCUGCGUUUGUCCGAUAGCAAUGACUCACUCCGGUCUUUGCCUCGGUGAUUGGUCUCACUUGGUGGUCCCAACUCGGCUUCUUGCCGAUAUUAACAAUGUUUAGGCUUUUGGUGCCGCGCUCCUUA
This is a long non-coding RNA of Setaria italica (foxtail millet), 944 nucleotides long. RefSeq lists it as uncharacterized. NCBI's taxonomy places the organism in Eukaryota, Viridiplantae, Streptophyta, Magnoliopsida, Poales, Poaceae. The transcript has 2 exons. The record is from RefSeq and is a predicted model, not a curated record.